Molecule: ribosomal RNA, 387 nt
Filed under: uncultured bacterium
Lineage: Bacteria
Description: bacterial SSU rRNA
Rfam family: Bacterial small subunit ribosomal RNA
Source: RNAcentral
GAUGAACGCUGGCGGCGUGCCUAACACAUGCAAGUCGAGCGGAGAUAGAGAGAGUACUUGUACAAUUUCUAUUUCAGCGGCGGACGGGUGAGUAACACGUGAGUAACCUGCCUUUCACUGGGGAAUAACAUCGAGAAAUCGGUGCUAAUACCGCAUAAUGUCAUUAGCCCGCAUGGGCGUAUGACCAAAGGAGUAAUCCGGUGAAAGAUGGACUCGCGUCCGAUUAGAUAGUUGGUGAGGUAAUGGCCCACCAAGUCUGCGAUCGGUAGCCGAACUGAGAGGUUGAUCGGCCACAUUGGGACUGAGACACGGGCCCAGACUCCUACGGGAGGCAGCAGUGGGGAAUAUUGGGCAAUGGGCGAAAGCCUGACCCAGCAACGCCGCGUG